UACGAAGGGGGCUAGCGUUGCUCGGAAUCACUGGGCGUAAAGCGCACGUAGGCGGCUUUUUAAGUCAGAGGUGAAAUCCUGGAGCUCAACUCCAGAACUGCCUUUGAUACUGGAGAGCUUGAGUCCGGGAGAGGUGAGUGGAACUGCGAGUGUAGAGGUGAAAUUCGUAGAUAUUCGCAAGAACACCAGUGGCGAAGGCGGCUCACUGGUCCGGUACUGACGCUGAGGUGCGAAAGCGUGGGGAGCGAACAGG
Molecule: ribosomal RNA, 253 nt
Filed under: uncultured bacterium
Lineage: Bacteria
Description: partial 16S ribosomal RNA
Rfam family: Bacterial small subunit ribosomal RNA
Source: RNAcentral